This 460-nucleotide ribosomal RNA is filed under the name uncultured bacterium. Its description in RNAcentral is "partial 16S ribosomal RNA". It matches the Rfam family "Bacterial small subunit ribosomal RNA", at positions 338 to 795 of the family's 1533-position model. The record is from RNAcentral.
CCUACGGGAGGCAGCAGUGAGGAAUAUUGGUCAAUGGACGCAAGUCUGAACCAGCCAUGCCGCGUGCAGGAAGACGGCUCUAUGAGUUGUAAACUGCUUUUGUACGAGGGUAAAUGCAGAUACGUGUCUCGGUCUGAAAGUAUCGUACGAAUAAGGAUCGGCUAACUCCGUGCCAGCAGCCGCGGUAAUACGGAGGAUUCAAGCGUUAUCCGGAUGUAUUGGGUUUAAAGGGUGCGUAGGCGGUCGGAUAAGUUAGAGGUGAAAUCCCGGGGGUCAACAUCGGAAUUGCCUCGGAUACUGUGCGGCUCGAGAGUAGUUGCGGUAGGCGGAAUGUAUGGUGUAGCGGUGAAAUGCUUAGAGAUCAUGCAGAACACCGAUUGCGAAGGCAGCUUACCAAGCUACUUCUGACGUUGAGGCACGAAAGCGUGGGGAGCAAACAGGAUUAGAUACCCGGGUAGUC